This 152-nucleotide microRNA precursor is filed under the name Ananas comosus (pineapple). Lineage: Eukaryota; Viridiplantae; Streptophyta; Magnoliopsida; Poales; Bromeliaceae. The record is from RNAcentral.
AGUAUAGCGCGUAGCCAAGGAUGACUUGCCGAUACUUAUUAGUAGCUCGAUAAGACUAUGAUCUUAGUCCAUCGACUAAUGGUGUUAUUUUGUAACUGCUUUUAUCCUUAAGAGAAAAUCGGCAAGUUGCAUUUGGCUACGUACCUGCCUCC